GGGUGGCCAGCCACACUGGGAUUGAGAUACUGCCCAGACUCCUAAGGGAGGCAGCAGUCGAGAGGCAUCUGCAAUGGGCGAAAGCCCGACAGUGCGACGCCGCGUGGACGAUGAAGGCCUUCGGGUCGUAAAGUCCUGUCACAGGGGGGAGAACAACACCCAUCCAAAUAAGAUGGGUGUCUGACGUUGCUCCUGGAGAAAGACCCGGCUAACUCCGUGCCAGCAGCCGCGGUAAUACGGAGGGGUCGAGCGUUAUUCGGAUUCACUGGGCGUAAAGGGCGCGUAGGCGGGGUUGUGGGUCGAUCGUGAAAUCCACCGGCUCAACCGGUGAACUGCGGUCGAAACUACAACUCUUGAGCUCGGUAGAGGAAGGCGGAAUUCCUGGUGUAGCGGUGGAAUCCGUAGAUAUCAGGAAGAACACCGGUAGCGAAGGCGGCCUUCUGGGCCGGAGCUGACGCUGAGGCGCGAAAGCCGGGGGAGCGAACAGGAUUAGAUACCCUGGUAGUCCCGGCCGUAAACGAUGGGUACUAGGUGUAGGGGGUACUGACCCCCCCUGUGCCGCAGUUAACGCAUUAAGUACCCCGCCUGGGGAGUACGCGCGCAAGCGUGAAACUCAAAGGAAUUGACGGGGCCCCGCACAAGCGGUGGAGCAUGUGGAUCAAUUCGACGCAACGCGCAGAACCUUACCGGGGUUUGACAUGUACCGGACCGGCAUGGAAACAUGCCUUCCCUUCGGGGCUGGUACACAGGUGCUGCAUGGCUGUCGUCAGCUCGUGUCGUGAGAUGUUGGGUUAAGUCCCGCAACGAGCGCAACCCUCGUCGCCUGUUGCCAUCAGGUUAAGCUGGGCACUCUGGCGAGACUGCCCGCGAUAUGCGGGAGGAAGGCGGGGAUGACGUCAAGUCCUCAUGGUCCUUACAUCCCGGGCUUCACACGUGCUACAAUGGCCGGUACAAAGGGUUGCAAUACCGCGAGGUGGAGCCAAUCCCAAAAAGCCGGUCUCAGUUCGGAUUGGAGUCUGCAACUCGACUCCAUGAAGUCGGAAUCCUAGUAAUCGUGGAUCAGCAUGCCACGGUGAAUACGUUCCCGGGGCUUGUACACACCGCCCGUCAAGCCACGAAAGCUGGUAGUACCCGAAGUCGCUGAGCCAACCCGCAAGGGAAGCAGGCGCCGAAGGUAAGACCAGCGAUUGGGGCUAAGUCGGAACAAGGUA
Molecule: ribosomal RNA, 1211 nt
Filed under: metagenome
Description: bacterial SSU rRNA
Rfam family: Bacterial small subunit ribosomal RNA
Source: RNAcentral